GGCCACUGCUAUGGGGGUCCGACUAAGCCAUGCGAGUCAUGGGGCGCCUUGCGCGCACCGGCGGACGGCUCAGUAACACGUCGGUAACCUACCCUCGGGAGGGGGAUAACCCCGGGAAACUGGGGCUAAUCCCCCAUAGGCCUGAGGUACUGGAAGGUCCUCAGGCCGAAAGGGUCUCUGACCGCCCGAGGAUGGGCCGGCGGCCGAUUAGGUAGUUGGUGGGGUAACGGCCCACCAAGCCGAAGAUCGGUACGGGCCAUGAGAGUGGGAGCCCGGAGAUGGACACUGAGACACGGGUCCAGGCCCUACGGGGCGCAGCAGGCGCGAAACCUCCGCAAUGCGGGCAACCGCGACGGGGGGACCCCCAGUGCCGUGGCAUCGCCACGGCUUUUCCGGAGUGUAAAAAGCUCCGGGAAUAAGGGCUGGGCAAGGCCGGUGGCAGCCGCCGCGGUAAUACCGGCGGCCCGAGUGGUGGCCGCUAUUAUUGGGCCUAAAGCGUCCGUAGCCGGGCCCGUAAGUCCCUGGCGAAAUCCCACGGCUCAACCGUGGGGCUUGCUGGGGAUACUGCGGGCCUUGGGACCGGGAGAGGCCGGGGGUACCCCUGGGGUAGGGGUGAAAUCCUAUAAUCCCAGGGGGACCGCCAGUGGCGAAGGCGCCCGGCUGGAACGGGUCCGACGGUGAGGGACGAAGGCCAGGGGAGCGAACCGGAUUAGAUACCCGGGUAGUCCUGGCUGUAAAGGAUGCGGGCUAGGUGUCGGGCGAGCUUCGAGCUCGUCCGGUGCCGAAGGGAAGCCGUUAAGCCCGCCGCCUGGGGAGUACGGCCGCAAGGCUGAAACUUAAAGGAAUUGGCGGGGGAGCACUACAAGGGGUGGAGCGUGCGGUUUAAUUGGAUUCAACGCCGGGAACCUCACCGGGGGCGACGGCAGGAUGAAGGCCAGGCUGAAGGUCUUGCCGGACACGCCGAGAGGAGGUGCAUGGCCGCCGUCAGCUCGUACCGUGAGGCGUCCACUUAAGUGUGGUAACGAGCGAGACCCGCGCCCCCAGUUGCCAGUCCUCCCCGUUGGGGAGGAGGCACUCUGGGGGGACCGCCGGCGAUAAGCCGGAGGAAGGAGCGGGCGACGGUAGGUCAG
This 1130-nucleotide ribosomal RNA is filed under the name Thermococcus sp. Tc-4-70. RNAcentral's name for it is "bacterial SSU rRNA". It matches the Rfam family "Archaeal small subunit ribosomal RNA", at positions 22 to 1149 of the family's 1478-position model. The record is from RNAcentral. Lineage: Archaea; Methanobacteriati; Methanobacteriota; Thermococci; Thermococcales; Thermococcaceae.